Molecule: ribosomal RNA, 495 nt
Filed under: Triticum aestivum (bread wheat)
Lineage: Eukaryota; Viridiplantae; Streptophyta; Magnoliopsida; Poales; Poaceae
Description: partial small subunit ribosomal RNA
Source: RNAcentral
AUGCUUGGCGGAGCCGGCCAUCCAUGGGGUCGUCGGGGUCCCUGUCCAAGGUCAGAGAGAGAGCAGGAUAUGCUGCGGGGCGGCGGCGCUCCUCGAGGUAGCCGACGGUGGCGAACGCGUGGAUCCAGGCAGCAGCGGACGGGGUCCGGCGACGAGCGGCUCUGGCUGCUCGAUGCAGGGGCGCAGCAGGGACCGAAGCAGGCCGUGAAGACGACAGCGGCGCGGGACUUGGUGUGCGGCAGCAGCUUGCAGGGUCGUCGGCGCGGGGUUGGUCUUCCUGGUGGAGCUCGGCGGCCCAAGCGAUGGAGAGGGAGAGAAAAGGAUCGGGCGCGCGCGUUCCUUCCUGGCGGCGCGAGCAGCGAGACAAGAGGAGAGAGUAGGGGUCGAGGGAAGGAUGAGGAGAGGCUGCGGGCGGAUGGGAUCGAGCGAGAGGGUGAGGAGGCGGCUGGAGGAGGAACGAAGAGGGGAUCGAGCAUAGGCCUCUCCUGCGGCUAG